AUGGGCAUGCAGGUUGACCCCGCCACCAAGUUCAAGCUGGCGAUGCGACGGCCGGCGAGGGCGACAACAUCCACUUCCUCUCCAUGGAGGAGGCAGAUGAGCAGUUCCUCCUUGCCCAAGCUGAGGAGACGGAGCAUCCCGGCGGAAUCGUUGCUUGAGCUCGAUCUCGAGGCCGAGCACACAGGCAAUGCCGCCUUCGCCAAGCUCACCAUCGGCCCUACCAUCGUGGCCGAUAUCUGCACCAUCCUCGACUCCCUCGAGUCCACGCGGGUGGUGGCGGAGAACCGACGCAAAAUCCACCUCUGCGACGUCAAGCGGGAGCGGCUCCUCCCGGAUGACGAUGAUGACGAGGAGACACCAUCGAUUCGACCUGCCGCCAAUGACUACAAGGCCAUCGGCUUCGGCAAGGGGGUCAUUGAGCUCUUCUUCGACGAGGAUUAG
RNAcentral lists this ribosomal RNA (441 nucleotides) under Triticum aestivum (bread wheat). RNAcentral describes it as "partial small subunit ribosomal RNA". The record is from RNAcentral. Lineage: Eukaryota; Viridiplantae; Streptophyta; Magnoliopsida; Poales; Poaceae.